Molecule: unclassified non-coding RNA, 376 nt
Filed under: soil metagenome
Description: partial contains 5.8S ribosomal RNA, internal transcribed spacer 2, and large subunit ribosomal RNA
Rfam family: 5.8S ribosomal RNA (bases 1-120)
Source: RNAcentral
GAUGAAGAACGCAGCGAAAUGCGAUAAGUAAUGUGAAUUGCAGAAUUCAGUGAAUCAUCGAAUCUUUGAACGCAUCUUGCGCUCCUUGGUAUUCUGAGGAGCAUGCCUGUUUGAGUGUCAUUAAAUUCUCAACUACACUGACUUUGAAUUGGUGUGGCUUGGAUUUGGGGGGAAAAUUGUUGUGGGCUUUUUGUAUAGUCUGCUCCCCUGAAAUUGAUUAGCGGUACCUUUGUGGAACUGUCUACAGGUGUGAUAAUUAUCUACAUCUUAGACAUCUGCUGGAAUGCUGCUUUCAAAACCUUACUUGUAUUGACAAUCUUGACCUCAAAUCAGGUAGGACUACCCGCUGAACUUAAGCAUAUCAAUAAGCGGAGGA